GGUUAAGUCCCGCAACGAGCGCAACCCCUAUCAUUAGUUGCCAACAGGUAAAGCUGGGAACUCUAAUGAAACUGCCGCCGUAAGGCGUGAGGAAGGAGGGGAUGAUGUCAAGUCAUCAUGGCCUUUAUGCCCAGGGCUACACACGUGCUACAAUGGGAAGUACAAAGGGUUGCUACCUGGUGACAGGACGCUAAUCUCAAAAAACUUCUCUCAGUUCAGAUUGCAGGCUGCAACUCGCCUGCAUGAAGCUGGAAUCGCUAGUAAUCGUAGAUCAGCAAUGCUACGGUGAAUACGUUCCCGGACCUUGUACACACCGCCCGUCAAGCCAUGGAAGCCGGGGGGACCUGAAGUCGGUAACCGCAAGGAGCCGCCUAGGGUAAGACCGGUAACUGGGGCUAAGUCGUAACAAGGUAGCCGAAU
This 420-nucleotide ribosomal RNA is filed under the name uncultured Sphingobacteriales bacterium. RNAcentral describes it as "bacterial SSU rRNA". It matches the Rfam family "Bacterial small subunit ribosomal RNA", at positions 1078 to 1505 of the family's 1533-position model. Lineage: Bacteria; Pseudomonadati; Bacteroidota; Sphingobacteriia; Sphingobacteriales. The record is from RNAcentral.